RNAcentral lists this long non-coding RNA (4762 nucleotides) under Brassica napus (rape). RNAcentral's name for it is "long non-coding RNA (BNAP_LNC011384)". Lineage: Eukaryota; Viridiplantae; Streptophyta; Magnoliopsida; Brassicales; Brassicaceae. The record is from RNAcentral.
CUAAACUUGUCUGCAACUGACAUGUUCCUCUACUUAUAUAACUUAAGCUUACUCAUGCCUAUCUUAAUCAAACGUACAUGUACUAUUAGUAUCCUGCUAUACAACACGAGCUAUUAGUAAAAUGUUUAAUAAUCGACAAUCUCGCCGGAGAUUCCGGCUCGGUAACUUAGCUAGGCUUGUCCAGUUACGGCAAAGCGUAAGCAACCAACCACCAUCACCGCAACAACCGCCAUUGCCACCAAAGGAUCUUAAAGAAGUUUUGUUACAAUCGCCACCACAGUCACAAGCAUUUCAGCGGCCUCCAUAUCAAUUGCCAUCGCCAAUGCCAUCACCAUCAACACUCCCACCAUCUAUAUCAAAACCUGGUGAAAAUCACCAGUCUUCGCCACGGCUGGAACCAAAGUCAUCACCACGGUCACCAGCAUUUCAGACACAACCGCAGUCACCUUCACGUCUGCCCCCUCCAAAUCAGUUUUCAUCUCCCAUGCCAUCACCAUCAACACUUCCGCCGCGGCCUGAACCGAAAGCAUCACCACCGUCACUUUUAUCACCAAAAUCAAAGGACGAAUCUCAACAGCAGACAACAACAUCAUCAACGUCUCCUUCGCCGCAAAAACCGAGCCUAUCUCAGCGGUUACCUCUACGAUCGGUGCCUCCUCAACCUCCGGAACCAAAGUCACCAGCAUUUCAGCCACAACCGCAGUCACCUUCAUUACUGCCCCCUUCACCAUCAACAUUUCCACCGUCUCUUACAGAAUCUAGUGAAAAUCCGCCACGUGUAGUACCAGAACCAAAAGCCUCACCACCGCCACUUUUACCACCAAACUCAAAGGAAGUGCUUCACCCGCAGACAACGUCACCACUAACACCAGAAGCAAAAAAACUACAGCCCCUUCCGUCAACGCUAAGCGCUCCUUUAGUAUAUCAAUCCCCACUAUCUUCAACACCGUCUAAAUCAAUUGAUGAAACUCGGUUCCAAUCACCGCCCCCGUCGCAAGUAUCACCACCCUCAUUAACAGAAUCCCAUGAAUCUAAGCUGUCAAAAUCUACUGAGGAUACUCAGUUCCGAUCACUAUCUCCGUCGCUGGCCUCACCACCAUCAUUGUUAAAAUCCGAUGAAUCUCAGACGGCUUUACCGCCACCAGAAACCAAAACUCCGCUGUCUCCACCCUCAACGCUUAAAGAAUUUCAGCCGCAGCUGUCACCACCGCUUCCACCGUCUAAAUCCAAUGUUGAAACUCAUUUCAAGUCUUUGCUUCCUUCGCAAGCAUCACCACCAUUAUCAUCAUCGUCUAGGUCUGGUGAACAUCAACCACCUUUAGCAACAGAAGCUAAAAUCCGUCCAUUGCCACCGUCGUUUUUAGAAACCGGCGAAAAUCAGCCGCUUUUAGCACCAUCAGAUAUUAAAGCUCCAAAGUCAACGCUAAAGGCCGCAGAAGAAUCCCUGCCCGAACCGCCUACACUGCUUUUGCCGUCUAAAGUAACUAUGUCCCAAUCAUCGCCUCCACUGCCACCGUCAUUAUCAGAAUCUGGUGAACUUCAACAGCCUUUGCCACCGACAGAAUAUAAAAUUCCACCACCACCACCGCCAUUGUUAGAAUCCGGUGAAUCUCAGCUGCCUUUACCACCACUACCAGAAACCAAAAUUCAACCGUCAAAGCUAAACGCUGCUAAAGAAUUCCAGUCUCCACCACUUGUUCCGUCUAAAGCCAUUGAUGAAUCUCGUCUGCCGCAUUUGCCACCAACAGAAACCAAAACUCCACCGUCAACGCUAUACGCUACUGAAGAAUCCCUGCCUCCACCGGUUAAAGCCACAGAUGAAACUCUGUCCCAAUCGUCAGAAACUGGUGAACCUCAACAUCCCUUGCCACCACCAAAAGCUAAAAUUCCACUGCCGCCACCAUCAACGCAAAACGCUGCUGUAAAACCCCAGUUUCAACCGCUUCCUGCCUCUACAUUCAAUGAUGAGACUCCGUUCAAAUCAUCGCCUCAACCACCACUAGAAUCUAAAAUUACACCGUCGAAGCUAAACACUAAUGAAGAAUCCACGCGUCAACCGUCUAAAUCCAUUGAUGAAACUCGGUCCCAAUCAUCACCUCCUUGGCAAUCAUCUAUACAGCCACGAGAAGCCAAAACUCCACCGUCAAAGCUAAACGCUAGUAAAGAAGAAUCCCAUGUCCAACCGCUUCCUCCCUCGCUGCCACUACCUGAAUCUAAUAUGCCACCACCACCACCAUCGCCCCAAACUAAACCUAACCCAAUCGAAUCUCGCACUUCAAAAGAUCAUCGCAAGGAUCGAAACCAAUAUCUAGAUAAACCAGACGCCGAACUCAGGGCUGAGAUCACCGGGGAAGUUAAGAAAACACCGACGAUGAUGAUGUUCAUCAACAGCAAUGUUCAAGGGAUCAACACAUCACUCUCGCUCGAUUCUGUGAAACUAAUACUCCUAUAUGUGUUUUGAUUUCAACAGGCACCAGACCAGGUCAAGAAUCAUUUCGGAGAAGCUUGUAUGAGUCUGAGCUCAGCUUCUUCAAAAAUCUUGAGAGAGUUAGCGGAUAUGAUCAAGAACACGAGAAAAUCUUCGAAGAUGGAUUACCUGGUGUUUGAUAUGAACUCAGCAGUACAAGAGCUUCAAGAAACCUUAAAAAUUGUUCCCAUAGAAAUCAACAGACCUGAAGACGAUGUUAAAUCUGAAAAGGACAAGGAAGGAGACAGAACCAUGGCGAUGAGCCUACAUGAAAUCCUUCCAGUUGCCACUUUGGUUUCGUUGUUGAUCGAAAACGCAGCUAGGAUUCAAACAACCGUCGAAGCAGUGGAUGAACUGGCAAAUCUUGCAGAUUUCAAACAAGAUUCAAAGAAGAAAACAGGAGGCAACAACGCUUAACAAGCACCACUAAGUUCUUAAAUUACUUUCAUAUUACACAUUGAAAACUCUUAACAAACAUGAAGAUUUUAAACCUGAGUUUUCAUGUAUAUAUAAAAACCUAUUAGUAUAUGAUUUUGCUUUGUUCUGUAACCUAAGGUUUAUUCGGCAUGGUUUUGAAGGCCAAAAAAGCAAGUUAUGGAACUAAAUAUUUACAACGUUUAAGAGUCCAUCCACAAUGAAACAUAAACAAAUUUCACCAUAGAAAACAAGAAUGCGAUUAUAGAUGGAUAAAACACAAAAGUAAACUUUGACUUUGUUGAUGUAAUCUUAGUUACAAUCUUUGGUUGUUUCAUUAAGUAACCCAUACAAGAUUUGUAACAACAAGUUCAUUACAGAUUCUCUCAAAUUCCAUUAAGACAUCAAACACAAUCCCAGAUUUGCCUCUUGUAACCAACAUCUUGACCAAGCCCUUCAAGUGUUUACCAAACUUACCUCUCUCAACAACUUCAUUGACUAAGCCCUUGUUAUUGUUCCUCUUCUUGUCUUCUCCCACAAGAAACGCCAUCAGCCUUCUGACAUCUUCUUGAGCCCGACCAAGACAGUUCUUCGAUUGACAAACGCUAACGAGCGCCGCAGCAAAUCCCGACGCCGCUUUCUCGUGAAUCUGAGGAGGAGAUGGUGGCGGUGGAGCUCUCGAGGGUUUUGUGUUCGGAAGUGGUAACGAGAUUCCUCUAGGGAAGGUAAGGUUUUUGUGGUGGGAGAAGGAAGAUGGAGAAGACGAUGUUGGUGGUUUUGAAAGAUUUGUCGAGGUUGAGUUAACGGUGGGUUUAAAGCGGCCGGAGAAGGACCUACGAGGUAGUGGAGGGAGGUUCAAGGAUGAAAUGGAUGCUGAGAGAGUCUCCAUGGAAGACGUUUCGAUAUUAUCCACCUGAACGAGAAAUGAAUGUUUCAAACAUUAUCAUAUAUCUUUUUCCAUAAUAUGCAUUUUGUUGAAUAAAAAUAUGGAAUAUCAGUAAAAUAUUGUUUUAUACUGCCCCCAUAUACCCAAAACACUUAAUGGGCCUAAUAUUUGUUACCUAUGGUCCAAUAUUAGCACUUGACAUUAAAAAGAAUAUAGAAAGUAUAUCUAUCUGAACACGUGAUUUGUGCAAAAGAUAUAAAGAAUCAAAUACUUGUCUUCGGUUUAUGGAUAUACUUUGUGUGAAUAAGGUCUAUAUCGUGUAGGCUAAACUUGUCUGCAACUGACAUGUUCCUCUACUUAUAUAACUUAAGCUUACUCAUGCCUAUCUUAAUCAAACGUACAUGUACUAUUAGUAUCCUGCUAUACAACACGAGCUAUUAGUAAAAUGUUUAAUAAUCGACAAUCUCGCCGGAGAUUCCGGCUCGGUAACUUAGCUAGGCUUGUCCAGUUACGGCAAAGCGUAAGCAACCAACCACCAUCACCGCAACAACCGCCAUUGCCACCAAAGGAUCUUAAAGAAGUUUUGUUACAAUCGCCACCACAGUCACAAGCAUUUCAGCGGCCUCCAUAUCAAUUGCCAUCGCCAAUGCCAUCACCAUCAACACUCCCACCAUCUAUAUCAAAACCUGGUGAAAAUCACCAGUCUUCGCCACGGCUGGAACCAAAGUCAUCACCACGGUCACCAGCAUUUCAGACACAACCGCAGUCACCUUCACGUCUGCCCCCUCCAAAUCAGUUUUCAUCUCCCAUGCCAUCACCAUCGACAGUUCCGCCGCGGCCUGAACCGAAAGCAUCACCUCCGUCACUUUUAUCACCAAAAUCAAAGGACGAAUCUCAACCGCAGACAACAACACCAUCGACGUCAAAACCGCCUCCAUCGCCGCAAAAACCGAGCCCAUCUCAGCGGUUACCUCUACGAUCGGUGCCUCCUCAAC